UAAACAAUAAAGACAUAAAAAAUUACAUAUCACUCUUAUCGUCUACUGAUAUGACCAAAAUUUGAUGUUAGAUACGAGACCACGCCGGAUCUCGAUCCGAUGUAACACAUAAGACAUAAGAUCCAUUUUUCGUUGACGUGAAAGCCACGUUUUAGUGGACAAAAAAAUAGUUUGAUUAAAAAAAAUAGUUUGAUUAAAAAAAAUAGUUAAAAUAGAAAGAGAAGUUAAACAUAAAGAAAAGCUUAAUGGAUGACUAAAAAAGCAACAUCGAUUCUCACUCGACCGAUCACGCAGUACUGGUUUUCUAGACUCUACCAUAUAAUAAAGAAGGAAGCUAAGACUGUAAGAGCAGUUUCAUCGUUGUUAAGAUCCUUUCGGGCUAUUCAUUAUUUAAUUCAUCCAAUAAACAAUAAUGAUUUUUAAUGAACAGUAAUUAUCUUUUGCAUUUCCAUCCUUAUAUUGAAUAACCCUGAUAAUAGAUAAUAAAAUAUUAGUAUUUUUUUAAAAUAAUACAAAAUAAUUUUAUUUGUAAUUUCAGAUAAGAUUUUUAAUCCAUCUCAUUGUAGUACUUUCUAUUAAUUUUUUUUUUCUUUUCUUUUCACAUGGUGCAGCACACCAUUCCAAAACUUUCGUUUUUUUCUUCACAUGGUGCCGAUGCACCAUUUCAAAACCUUUUUUUUAUUAUUUUUUCUUCUUCUUUUCACAUGAUGCCAACGCACCAUUCCAAAAGUUAUGUGUUCUUUUUUUCUUUCUUUUUCAGUUGCUCUGCUCUCUCUCACUUUUAGCUCCAGCGGCAGGGCCUUAAAUUCACAGUUUUUCCUUAGUUAAAAUCUCUCUCUCUCUCUCCACACCCCCCCCCAAAAAAAAAAAAAUCCCAAAUCGUGUGAGGUGAAUGCGGUGUGGGGUGCGGCGACAACUGCCGUGGAGGAGGGACUGGAUCUCUUUCAUUUAUCUGUGGGUGUAUCAUCAGUCUCGGCGUGAGCGGUUGAGUUCCAAGCCAGAGUUUUACAUUUUUUUAAAUUUUUUAUUAAUAUUAUAUAUUUUUAUUAAUUUUAUAUUAUGACUGAUGUCGUCUUGACGUCAGCCCACGUCACAAGGCCGUCGGGCUCUCGGGCAGGCAAUCCCUACCGAACAUGUCCCUUGAGCUGGCAUACGCUGGACCUUAUCCGCCGGCCUAUUUGACUCUAUUCCAUCCCUAGUCCACCGGGUAAUACACCACGGUGGAACUGCUCUAAGACGUGGAUGUGUUGUUUAGCUGCCACGACUCUCGUGACUCUGCGACACACUCUACAAAACAAAACGUCUACUCAACUUCUCUCUCUCUUCACUCUCUCUCUCUCUUUGGAUUUUGGAUGAGUGCUAAUCCUCCCGACUGCUCAAGGCAAAGAAAUUUUUCGUUAUGUUAAGGCAUGCUUCGUUGGUCAGGCUAAGAAGUUGACAGCAAGGAAUGAGCAGGAAGCAACAGAAGCCGAGCUUCAGACAGCCAAAAUCCAAGUUGAAGCAGCUGAUACCGCUGAGGAUACCAAAAACAGACUCCACAUGUAAUGUAAUUGCUCUAACAGUUCCACCUUUUUUUCUUUUGUUAUAAUUAAGCAGAAUAUUUUGCAAUUUAAAAUUUUGAAUUGAUUUAUAUUGUUUGAUUUCUGAA
Pyrus x bretschneideri (Chinese white pear) is the source of this 1648-nucleotide long non-coding RNA. RefSeq lists it as uncharacterized. Lineage: Eukaryota; Viridiplantae; Streptophyta; Magnoliopsida; Rosales; Rosaceae. The record is from RefSeq and is a predicted model, not a curated record. The transcript is spliced from 2 exons.